CCUUUGGGGGGUGCUUACACAUGCAAGUCGAACGGGAUCCAUCAGGCUUUGCUUGGUGGUGAGAGUGGCGAACGGGUGAGUAAUGCGUGACCGACCUGCCCCAUACACCGGAAUAGCUCCUGGAAACGGGUGGUAAUGCCGGAUGCUCCGACUCCUCGCAUGGGGUGUCGGGAAAGAUUUCAUCGGUAUGGGAUGGGGUCGCGUCCUAUCAGGUAGUCGGCGGGGUAACGGCCCACCGAGCCUACGACGGGUAGCCGGCCUGAGAGGGCGACCGGCCACAUUGGGACUGAGAUACGGCCCAGACUCCUACGGGAGGCAGCAGUGGGGAAUAUUGCACAAUGGGCGCAAGCCUGAUGCAGCGACGCCGCGUGCGGGAUGACGGCCUUCGGGUUGUAAACCGCUUUUGAUCGGGAGCAAGCCUUCGGGUGAGUGUACCUUUCGAAUAAGCACCGGCUAACUACGUGCCAGCAGCCGCGGUAAUACGUAGGGUGCAAGCGUUAUCCGGAAUUAUUGGGCGUAAAGGGCUCGUAGGCGGUUCGUCGCGUCCGGUGUGAAAGUCCAUCGCUUAACGGUGGAUCUGCGCCGGGUACGGGCGGGCUGGAGUGCGGUAGGGGAGACUGGAAUUCCCGGUGUAACGGUGGAAUGUGUAGAUAUCGGGAAGAACACCAAUGGCGAAGGCAGGUCUCUGGGCCGUUACUGACGCUGAGGAGCGAAAGCGUGGGGAGCGAACAGGAUUAGAUACCCUGGUAGUCCACGCCGUAAACGGUGGAUGCUGGAUGUGGGGCCCGUUCCACGGGUUCCGUGUCGGAGCUAACGCGUUAAGCAUCCCGCCUGGGGAGUACGGCCGCAAGGCUAAAACUCAAAGAAAUUGACGGGGGCCCGCACAAGCGGCGGAGCAUGCGGAUUAAUUCGAUGCAACGCGAAGAACCUUACCUGGGCUUGACAUGUUCCCGACAGCCGUAGAGAUAUGGCCUCCCUUCGGGGCGGGUUCACAGGUGGUGCAUGGUCGUCGUCAGCUCGUGUCGUGAGAUGUUGGGUUAAGUCCCGCAACGAGCGCAACCCUCGCCCUGUGUUGCCAGCACGUCAUGGUGGGAACUCACGGGGGACCGCCGGGGUCAACUCGGAGGAAGGUGGGGAUGACGUCAGAUCAUCAUGCCCCUUACGUCCAGGGCUUCACGCAUGCUACAAUGGCCGGUACAACGGGAUGCGACACGGCGACGUGGAGCGGAUCCCUGAAAACCGGUCUCAGUUCGGAUUGGAGUCUGCAACCCGACUCCAUGAAGGCGGAGUCGCUAGUAAUCGCGGAUCAGCAACGCCGCGGUGAAUGCGUUCCCGGGCCUUGUACACACCGCCCGUCAAGUCAUGAAAGUGGGUAGCACCCGAAGCCGGUGGCCUAACCCUUUGUGGAUGGAGCCGUCUAAAGGGAAACUUGGU
This 1434-nucleotide ribosomal RNA is filed under the name Bifidobacterium pseudocatenulatum. RNAcentral's name for it is "bacterial SSU rRNA". It matches the Rfam family "Bacterial small subunit ribosomal RNA". Lineage: Bacteria; Bacillati; Actinomycetota; Actinomycetes; Bifidobacteriales; Bifidobacteriaceae. The record is from RNAcentral.